AUGAACGCUGGCGGCGUGCCUAAUACAUGCAAGUCGAGCGAACAGACGAGGAGCUUGCUCCUCUGACGUUAGCGGCGGACGGGUGAGUAACACGUGGAUAACCUACCUAUAAGACUGGGAUAACUUCGGGAAACCGGAGCUAAUACCGGAUAAUAUAUUGAACCGCAUGGUUCAAUAGUGAAAGACGGUUUUGCUGUCACUUAUAGAUGGAUCCGCGCCGCAUUAGCUAGUUGGUAAGGUAACGGCUUACCAAGGCGACGAUGCGUAGCCGACCUGAGAGGGUGAUCGGCCACACUGGAACUGAGACACGGUCCAGACUCCUACGGGAGGCAGCAGUAGGGAAUCUUCCGCAAUGGGCGAAAGCCUGACGGAGCAACGCCGCGUGAGUGAUGAAGGUCUUCGGAUCGUAAAACUCUGUUAUUAGGGAAGAACAAAUGUGUAAGUAACGAUGCACGUCUUGACGGUACCUAAUCAGAAAGCCACGGCUAACUACGU
This 495-nucleotide ribosomal RNA is filed under the name uncultured bacterium. RNAcentral describes it as "partial 16S ribosomal RNA". It matches the Rfam family "Bacterial small subunit ribosomal RNA", at positions 29 to 506 of the family's 1533-position model. The record is from RNAcentral.